This 395-nucleotide ribosomal RNA is filed under the name uncultured bacterium. RNAcentral describes it as "partial 16S ribosomal RNA". It matches the Rfam family "Bacterial small subunit ribosomal RNA", at positions 523 to 918 of the family's 1533-position model. The record is from RNAcentral.
AUACGUAGGGUGCAAGCGUUAAUCGGAAUUACUGGGCGUAAAGCGUGCGCAGGCGGUUUUGUAAGACAGAGGUGAAAUCCCCGGGCUCAAACUGGGAAUUUGCUUUGUGACUGCAAGGCUGGAGGACGGCAGAGGGGGAAGGACUUCCGCGGUUAGGAGCGAAAUGAGUAGAUAUGCGGAGGAACACCGAUGGCGAAGGCAAUCCCCUGGGCCUGUACUGACGCUCAUGCACGAAAGCGUGGGGAGAAAACAGGAUUAGAUACCCUGGUAGUCCACGCCCUAAACGAUGUGAACUGGUUGUUGGGUCUUCAUUGACUCAGUAACGAAGCUAACGCGUGAAGUUGACCGCCUGGGGAGUACGGCCGCAAGGUUGAAACUCAAAGGAAUUGACGGGG